AAGUCGUAACAAGGUUUCCGUAGGUGAACCUGCGGAAGGAUCAUUAUUGAAUGGCGCUCUGCGCUUUCACACUUGGCUGUGCGCCCUCUGGGCUGCACGUCGGGUUUCCACACACCUGUGCACCGCUCGUUCGGUGGCCUCGCGCCGCCGUUCGCCUUAUACACUUUAACGUCUGUCUUGAAUGUAAAACCCUUUAAUUAAACACAACUUUCAACAACGGAUCUCUUGGCUCUC
Molecule: unclassified non-coding RNA, 234 nt
Filed under: air metagenome
Description: partial contains small subunit ribosomal RNA, internal transcribed spacer 1, and 5.8S ribosomal RNA
Rfam family: Eukaryotic small subunit ribosomal RNA (bases 1-46)
Source: RNAcentral